RNAcentral lists this ribosomal RNA (357 nucleotides) under Candidatus Methanomethylophilaceae archaeon. Its description in RNAcentral is "bacterial SSU rRNA". It matches the Rfam family "Archaeal small subunit ribosomal RNA", at positions 1120 to 1478 of the family's 1478-position model. Lineage: Archaea; Methanobacteriati; Thermoplasmatota; Thermoplasmata; Methanomassiliicoccales; Methanomethylophilaceae. The record is from RNAcentral.
CAGAGGAAGGAGAGGUCAACGGUAGGUCAGUAUGCCCCGAAUCUCUUGGGCUACACGCGCGCUACAAAGGGCGGGACAAUGGGCUACGACGCCGAAAGGCGAAGUCAAUCUCGAAACCCGUCCGUAGUUCGGAUUGAGGCUUGUAACUCAGCCUCAUGAAGCUGGAUUCCGUAGUAAUCGCGACUCAAAAACUCGCGGUGAAUAUGCCCCUGCUCCUUGCACACACCGCCCGUCAAACCAUCCGAGUUGGGUUUCAGUGAGGUGGCCCCUGAUUAGGGUCUUCGAACUGAGAUUUAGCAAGGAAGGUUAAGUCGUUACAAGGUAUCUGUAGGGGAAACUGCAGAUGGAUCACCUCCU